ACUCCUACGGGAGGCAGCAGUGGGGAAUAUUGCGCAAUGGGCGGAAGCCUGACGCAGCGACGCCGCGUGGGGGAUGACGGCCUUCGGGUUGUAAACCUCUUUCGCCAGGGACGAAGCUUUUGUGACGGUACCUGGAGAAGGAAGCACCGGCCAACUACGUGCCAGCAGCCGCGGUAACACGUAGGGUGCGAGCGUUGUCCGGAUUCAUUGGGCGUAAAGAGCUCGUAGGCGGUCUAGUAAGUUGGGUGUGAAAGCUCCGGGCUCAACCCGGAGAGGUCACCCAAAACUGCUAUGACUAGAGUCCAGUAGAGGAGCGUGGAAUUCCUGGUGUAGCGGUGAAAUGCGCAGAUAUCAGGAGGAACACCAGCAGCGAAGGCGGCGCUCUGGGCUGGAACUGACGCUGAGGAGCG
Molecule: ribosomal RNA, 410 nt
Filed under: uncultured bacterium
Lineage: Bacteria
Description: bacterial SSU rRNA
Rfam family: Bacterial small subunit ribosomal RNA
Source: RNAcentral